GUGGGGAAUCUUGCGCAAUGGGCGAAAGCCUGACGCAGCCAUGCCGCGUGGAUGAUGAAGGUCUUAGGAUUGUAAAAUCCUUUCACCGGUGAAGAUAAUGACUGUAGCCGGAGAAGAAGCCCCGGCUAACUUCGUGCCAGCAGCCGCGGUAAUACGAAGGGGGCUAGCGUUGCUCGGAUUUACUGGGCGUAAAGGGCGCGUAGGCGGACAUUUAAGUCAGGGGUGAAAUCCCGGGGCUCAACCUCGGAACUGCCGUUGAUACUGGGUGUCUUGAGUAUGAGAGAGGUGUGUGGAACUCCGAGUGUAGAGGUGAAAUUCGUAGAUAUUCGGAAGAACACCAGUGGCGAAGGCGACACACUGGCUCAUUACUGACGCUGAGGCGCGAAAGCGUGGGGAGCAAACAGGAUUAGAAACCCCAGUAGUCC
This 425-nucleotide ribosomal RNA is filed under the name uncultured bacterium. RNAcentral's name for it is "partial 16S ribosomal RNA". It matches the Rfam family "Bacterial small subunit ribosomal RNA", at positions 354 to 796 of the family's 1533-position model. The record is from RNAcentral.